AUAAUACCUAUUUUUGGUGUUAAUUAUCUUGUCAAAUAAAUGACUUAAUUAAUUGACCUAAAGGAUAUUCUUCUUAUCCAUGUGGCGUCUCAUGAUUGGAGAUUGGUGGGGAGGGGAUCAGAUAAAAGAGAGAGAAAGAGUCUUCCUUUUUUUGGUUUUAGUAUUUUAUAUUGUUAAUUAAUUAAUUAAUAAUAUUAUUUAUUCGGUGGAUGGAAAGAUAAUGGGUAUUUUAAGAAUGAUAGUGGGUGGAAUAAUAAGAUUGUGUUUUUUUCAAAUUUAUAUGGUGGG
RNAcentral lists this long non-coding RNA (288 nucleotides) under Prunus persica (peach). RNAcentral's name for it is "long non-coding RNA (PPER_LNC005111)". The record is from RNAcentral. Lineage: Eukaryota; Viridiplantae; Streptophyta; Magnoliopsida; Rosales; Rosaceae.